GCCUGGGUGGCUCAGUCGGUUGAGCAUCUGACUUCAGCUCAGGUCACGAUCUCGCGAUCUGUGAGUUCGAGCCCCGCGUCGGGCU
Transfer RNA from Felis catus (domestic cat), 85 nucleotides. It matches the Rfam family "tRNA". From Rfam's summary of the family: Transfer RNA (tRNA) molecules are approximately 80 nucleotides in length. Their secondary structure includes four short double-helical elements and three loops (D, anti-codon, and T loops). NCBI's taxonomy places the organism in Eukaryota, Metazoa, Chordata, Mammalia, Carnivora, Felidae. The record is from Rfam.